Molecule: long non-coding RNA, 726 nt
Filed under: Callithrix jacchus (white-tufted-ear marmoset)
Lineage: Eukaryota; Metazoa; Chordata; Mammalia; Primates; Cebidae
Description: lncRNA (ENSCJAG00000073687.1)
Source: RNAcentral
GAGGUAAGGGUGGAAAAGAGGGUCAGCAGUCUAUGGUAAGAUGAAAGAAAAGCUAGGUGGAAACCAAGACCCAGCAUGACAUCUUGACUGCACUAGUUCUCAGAAAAGCAGUUUUAAAUGCAUACUUGCAGAAGUUGAGGAUCUGGAAAUUAGUUCCCAUAAAACUCUGCAUGCUUUGGGACCCUCUGGAAAGUUUUUGCCUGAAGCCAGAGCUCUACAGGACAGAAAACUGAGCAAAGUCUUCCAGGUUUGGUUGAUGACAAGCUAAGAGCAGAGCUAAAGGAAUUUAGAGACUGGCUUUCAAAACAAUAGCCUGGAUUUCAAGCUGAUUGUCUUGUUCCUAUUUUGAAUUUCAGAGGCCAAAUACUAAUUUCUUUUUUUCCAUUCCUUUUGUAACAUCUAAACAGUGCCAAAACCCUAUCUCCAGGGCAAAUGGACUUCCCAGGCAGAUGAGAAAAAGAUCACAUUACUCAUGUUCAACAUAUUACCUCAGUUACACAAGCAUCGUGGAAUUUUGUGCAUUUGGAUGGAAGACAACUGUUUCUUUAUCUUCUUCCAAUGUCAGGAGAAGCAGGCUGUGAGCCAAGGGGAAGGCAGAGGACAGAAAUGAAUGUGUUUCCAGGCUUUCCUGGUGGUUUAUGGCAUUCUCCAAACUCCUAUGCAAGGGCUAUUCCUGACCAAGAAGAUCUAAGGAGAACGUCUCUGAAAUCAAGUCCGGAUGAAGAA